AACAAUUACAUCAAAAAGCAAGGGAUCCCUGAGGAAUUCAAGGGUCUCAUGCCACACAUUAGGACUAGCAUAGGACCGGGCAGCUUUGGCCAAAGCAUGAGCCACCCCGUUGGCUUGUCUCUUGGCAAAACUCACAGAUACAUUAAUAAGAGAGUGAGAAAUAGAACGACAGACAUCUAAAAUGGAACCAAAUUCAUAAAGAUCCAAAGAAGGAUUGUUGAAAGAGUCCACCACCACUUUUGCGUCAACUUCGAUUGUCAUAUUUUACAGCUGCAGAGAAUAGAUCCAGCUAAGGGCUUCCUUGAGGCAGAGAGCUUCAGCUUCAACAGGAAAAAACAAACUCGCCAUGAUCUUCGACUUACACUGAAUUAGUUGUCGUCUAGACUCAGGAAUGACCAAGCCAAACCCCACCGUCUCAGAUUCAGCAGACUCGGUUGCAUCUGUAUUAGACUUAUAACUAGAGUUUGUGGCGGGAUCCCAUUUACAUAGAUAUGGUAGCAUACUGCAAUAUAUUGUUGGAUUAACUUUCAUCUUAACAACUCUUCAUUGCUCUAGAAAGACCAUGCACGAAGAGGCAACAUUAGAUGGAUCCAC
This 594-nucleotide long non-coding RNA is filed under the name Ricinus communis (castor bean). RNAcentral describes it as "long non-coding RNA (RCOM_LNC000100)". The record is from RNAcentral. Lineage: Eukaryota; Viridiplantae; Streptophyta; Magnoliopsida; Malpighiales; Euphorbiaceae.